CUUUACAUAACAUUCUUCCAAAAAUAUUACAUUUGAGUCUAGGGCAUCAGAACCCAAAAUUUACAAGUUUAUGCAAUAAAAAAAAUCCAGGACUAGACUCCCCAACCACAUACAAGAUUUAGAUCCCGCCUCCAAUAAGUCUGGCUUCAACUUCCUUCAGAAAUCCUUGUCGUUCCAACUCUUGGCCUGUGGUUAUCAUUCUACAAGGAGGGGAAGGAGAAAUGGGAUUAGCUAUACAGCCCAUAAGUAGGACUAAGCGCUAUGCAUCAAUAAUGAGCCUAUACAUGAAUCAUAAACAAUUUAUUUAACUAUAUGGAAUUUCAGUACAGCAGUCAUGAAAAUCAGCAUUCAGGUCAGUACAUCAAUUAUAAGCAUUUUAUCCAUAUAGCAGUUAACACUCAAGCGAUUCAAUCAUCGGUAUUCAUAAUCACUAUUCAAUCAUCACCCACUCACUCCUUAGUUCACCUACUCCCGUAUUAGAGGCCCUAUCCAUCGGGCUAAGCUAAUCCCAUCGCUUAGGACCUCUACCAUCUCCACUAAAGUAAUGCUCUCAUACUCACCCACACAACCCCAGUGCGUAUUAGGGGUUCGAUAGGUACCUGCCUUGCAAGGCGUCAGUCACUAGUCUCAUCUCAGUAAAUCUCGGGUGGUGUGACCCUUCCAUUUUGCUUUUCCCCCUAACUGCAUCCUAUCAUUCAACAAGUUAGGGGAUAUAGCCGACAUCACUUUCCUUAGUAUAACAGCCCUCACUACCGAUGGGUUUCCCAUCGCGUAGCGAGCAGUAUCAGUGAAACAAUGGUCAGUAUCACAGUAUUAUCAUAGAGCAGUACUCACUACCAAUGGGUGUCCCAUUACGUAGUGGUCAUCGUUAUGGCCCCAUAUCGUGCUCAAGCACUUAAUUUCAUUCAUGCUAAAUCAGUGCAUCAUAACAGAUAAAUCAAAUUUUAUCAUGCAAGAAUGGAGUCUUGCUCAGAAUCAUCAAACAUUCACAAAACAUUAUAACAAUUAUCAUGAACCAUCCAUUGCAUGAGCUGUCACAUAGCAUUUAUGCUUAGAAGUCAUCGAUAGAAAUUCGACACUUUUCAUAUAGCAUACAUCAUAGAAAAAUCACUUCAGCUUUACACUUAUCCAUUUAUCACAUAGAACAUAGUUGCGUAGCACCAACCACAUAAACCUCACAUAAUGCUCGUAUUUAUCACUUAUUAAAGAUGUUACAUAGCUACUUGAAUCACUUAAUGAGUAAUCCUGAGAAAGGUGGCAGAAAACGACUAUAACACUAAUUUUUUGAGGUGCAAUAGUGACAUACUCCUCUUCUUGGGGCUUAAUUCCCCAAUCUAGGGAGAAUUUCAAAACACUUUAAACAUGCAACCUCAAGUUCAUGCCCGAGACUUUAAAAUGGUGAUGAUUUGAAAUAAUUUGAACGACUUCUAAUAGGUCAAAAGCUCGGCUCAAAAUGAUUGAAAGUUGCUGGAAAUUUCCUGCAACAGUGGGUAGUGAUAAACCCAUGGGCAUAACUAUCAAUUUACAAGAAAUCUCAAAAUCAUCAAAACAUAAAACUUUAAUUUUAUUCACUGAUAUUUCAAAUGGUGCCAUUUUGAAGAUGUUUGGGCACCGUUGGUUAAGCCAAACGUGCCGCACAAAAAGAGUCACAGUUGCUGGAAUUUACCACGACUGUGGACAGUGAUAUGCCCAACGUUUUGGGGCAUAUCCUUUGAUCCAUACAAAAUUUUAUCAUAGUAUAAAUGUAAACUUAACAUAGACACACAUAUAUUUCAUUCAAGACCUAUUUGGGCCCAUUUGGGCACCGUUUGGUCAUCGAAAAGUCCAACGUAAAAAUCCUCACAGUUGCUGGAAAAUCCCUCUAUCCCACAUUUUAUCAUGCUAUCAAAUGAUACACCAUUUCACAAGCCAAAAUAAACUCAACACAAGCCUUAUUCAUGUUAAGUAAUUUAAGCAAGUUUUACAAGAAAACUGCUCUAUAAAUUUAUCAAGUUCAUUACUCAAUGCUCAAUGCCUCAUUGAAGCCUCUUUUUAUUCAUUUGUAUUCAUUCACCGCAUUCUAUCAUCUUGCUCUUCAAAUCAACUUAAUUUUAAAUCCUAUGAAGUGAAAUGAUGCACGAUACUAAACCCACUUACUUCGUGUCCACAGUGUCUUCAAAUCUCCCACUGGCAGGCCACCCCAAGUUCUGAGCAAUGGCUUCUCUAGGACAACAGUUAACUCACUGGUUCUAGAGAGAGAGAGAGAGCAAGGGAAAAGUGAGAGGAAUGGUGGAAAAUGGGGAGGGGAGAGGGCUUAAGUACCCAGAGUAGGUGAAGGUCACUGUAGUUGACGUGUACGGCUCUAACAGGUGUGGCAUUGACACGUACGACACUGACAAGUGUGGAACUGGCAGUGGUCAUAUCUUCCCUCUUCACCAUCGACGUUAGCUCUUCUCAGCCUUCACACACAACGAUACCCUAGUUCAUGCGCGACGAUGCUCCAGAUGGCGCUACACUCGCGGCGAUGCUCAAAUUUUCACUCGCGGUGAUGCCUUUCAC
This 2538-nucleotide long non-coding RNA is filed under the name Amborella trichopoda. Its description in RNAcentral is "long non-coding RNA (ATRI_LNC002718)". Lineage: Eukaryota; Viridiplantae; Streptophyta; Magnoliopsida; Amborellales; Amborellaceae. The record is from RNAcentral.